This 75-nucleotide transfer RNA is filed under the name Clostridiaceae bacterium. RNAcentral's name for it is "tRNA-Glu". It matches the Rfam family "tRNA". From Rfam's summary of the family: Transfer RNA (tRNA) molecules are approximately 80 nucleotides in length. Their secondary structure includes four short double-helical elements and three loops (D, anti-codon, and T loops). Lineage: Bacteria; Bacillati; Bacillota; Clostridia; Eubacteriales; Clostridiaceae. The record is from RNAcentral.
GGCUCCAUGGUCAAGCGGUUAAGACACCGCCCUUUCACGGCGGUUACAGGAGUUCGAACCUCCUUGGAGUCACCA